UCUUUUACAGUGAAGAAGUCUUUUUUAACAGGCAGACUGUCAGAUUUCCUCUAACAACAAAACAACUGGCAAAGCUUGUUUUCCUGGUUUCGUUUAUAAGGAAAGUGAAAUCUAAAGGGAGUUACUACAGCCUCACACAAACAUACAGACCAGCCAUCGAAAGCAGCAGAUUUACACAGGACGUGGUGGAGGACUUGCUGCUGUUUACCAGGACAAACUCAUAUGCAAACUGAUGACCUCGGACUUCUUUUCUUCAUUUGAGUCACAGAUGAUGAAGGUCUGUUCCCUGAAAACCUUUUACUGUAUUUUAAUCUAUCGACCUCCUGGACCUGCUGGGGUCUUUCUAACUGAAUUUAACGACCUUCUGACAUCGAUCAUUAAACUGGAGAAGGUUGUAAUAUUGGGAGACUUAAACCUUCAUAUUGAUGACGCUUCCUGUAACACUGCUGCUGAGCUCAUCACUAUCACUGAGUCUUUUAACUUUAAGCAACAUGUUUCUGGCCCCACACAUACAAAGGGCCACACUCUUGAUCUUGUUUUCUCCCUGGGUUUAAAUAUACAUGAUGUAUGUGUGGAAGAUGUCCAUGUGAGUGACCAUAGUUAUAUAUUCUUUAAUUUGUCAUUUUACGUGGAUCCUUCACCUCCUAAAUUGAUGAUCCAAAGGCGGAUUAUAAACCAGGAUGCUGCUAGAAGGUUUUCUGCCAUGUUUGUCCCUCGCAUGGCUCAAAAUGAUAUGGAUUCACUUAUUUUGUCUUUUAACAAUCAAUGUAAAUCUAUUUUAGAUACAGUGGCACCUCUGAAACUAAAUGUUGUCCAUUCUUCAAAUUUCUGUCCCUGGAUAAAUGAAAAUAUUCGAAAUUUUAGGAGAUAUUGUCGCAAAUUAGAACGUUUAUGGAAGGCUUCCAAGCUUGAGGUCCAUAGGGUACAUCUCAAGGAAUCAAUUUUCUCACUUAACGACAUGAUAAAAAAAUGCCAGAACUGAAUAUUUUGCUAAUCUAAUAGCUUCAA
Long non-coding RNA from Haplochromis burtoni (Burton's mouthbrooder), 1008 nucleotides. RefSeq lists it as uncharacterized. NCBI's taxonomy places the organism in Eukaryota, Metazoa, Chordata, Actinopteri, Cichliformes, Cichlidae. The record is from RefSeq and is a predicted model, not a curated record. The transcript is spliced from 2 exons.